AAUAAACGAAUUUCUGCGUUUUUUUCUAGAAUUUUUGAUUCUUCGUCUUAUUUGAAAUUUUUUUAUAAUUAAUAUUUUAUUGUUACUACAUGAUAAAACAUGAAUAGUACUUUAUGUGUGACUAUUUUUUUUAAUUUUUAAUAAAAUUUUCAAAUAAGACAGAUGGUCAAACGCUCGAUAUUAAAAACCCACAAAUGCUUUUUUU
This 205-nucleotide microRNA precursor is filed under the name Oryza brachyantha (malo sina). RNAcentral describes it as "MIR812 microRNA precursor family". It matches the Rfam family "MIR812 microRNA precursor family". Lineage: Eukaryota; Viridiplantae; Streptophyta; Magnoliopsida; Poales; Poaceae. The record is from Rfam by way of RNAcentral.